Pezoporus flaviventris is the source of this 3475-nucleotide RNA transcript. It is a transcript of the gene named tropomodulin-3-like, with no coding region annotated. The record is from RefSeq and is a predicted model, not a curated record. The transcript is spliced from 11 exons. Lineage: Eukaryota; Metazoa; Chordata; Aves; Psittaciformes; Psittacidae.
CAGGCGCGGAGCCAUUCCGUGAGCGCAGGCGCAGAGCCCGGCGCCCCGCCCCGCGGCCGGACUACAGCUCCCGGCAUGCUCCGGGCGCGCAGGCGCAGGGCUGUGGCUCGCGGUGGACGGAGUUGGUGGCUGCCGCCGCCCGGAUCUGGUGAAGAAUAAGGCUUGGUUUUAAAGUGUUUGAGCAACCUGCUGCUGCUGGAGUCAUGACACUCCCAUUUCGAAAGGACUUGGACAAGUACAAAGAUCUUGAUGAGGAUGAAAUUCUUGGCAAACUGUCGGAAGAAGAACUGAAACAACUGGAAACUGUUUUGGAUGAUCUUGACCCUGAGAAUGCAUUGCUGCCUGCAGGCUUCCGACAGAAAGACCAGACUGCUAAAAAGGCUUCAGGUCCCUUCGACAGGGAACGGCUCCUGGCAUACUUAGAGAAGCAGGCUCUUGAGCACAAAGACAGGGAAGACUAUGUGCCUUUUACAAAAGAAAAGAAAGGGAAAAUAUUUAUCCCCAAGCAGAAGCCUGUACAGUCUUAUGCAGAAGAAAAAUUCACUCUUGAUCCAGAACUGGAGGAAGCCUUGACCAGUGCCACAGACACAGAAUUAGGUGACCUUGCAGCUAUACUGGGAAUGUCUCACUUGAUAACAAACUAUGAGCUCUGUGAUGUAGUAGGAAGCCGUAAUGGGGUUGACAAAGACAGCUUCUCAGAUAUAGUAAAAGGUGAAAAAAUGUUGCCUGUUUUUGAUGAGCCACCAAAUCCCACAAAUGUAGAAGAGACACUGCAAAGGAUUAAAGAUAAUGAUUCUCGUCUUGUUGAAGUUAACCUAAAUAACAUUAAGAACAUACCAAUUCCAACACUGAAAGAAUUUGCAAAAGCCUUAGAAACCAACAUGCAUGUGAAGCAUUUCAGCCUUGCAGCCACCCGAAGCAAUGAUCCUGUUGCUGUUGCUCUUGCAGAUAUGCUGAGAGUAAACACAAAACUAAGAAGUUUAAACAUAGAAUCAAACUUCAUCACUGGAGUUGGAAUUUUGGCACUGGUCGAUGCACUGAAAGACAAUGAAACAUUGACAGAGAUCAAAAUUGAUAAUCAAAGGCAGCAGCUGGGCACAAUUGCAGAAGUAGAAAUUGCCAAGAUGCUUGAAGAAAACACGAAGAUCCUCAAAUUUGGAUACCAUUUCACACAACAGGGACCUCGAGCCAGGGCAGCUGCAGCUAUCACAAAAAAUAAUGAUUUGGUCUGGAGUAUGCGAGUAAAAGUUUCUGCAAAUACCCUUUCAUCUCUCCAGCCCUGAAGCUCCAGAGGCAGUUACGCUGAAUACCCAGUUGGGUACUGAGCACUGAAAACUGGGAUGUUCAAAGUAUCUCAUUUCUGUCUUUUUCGCAAGAGGAGGGUUGAAGGAGAUAUCUAGCAGAUCUUCUUGUCAGAACUGUGUGGAGCUUUCAAGGGUCGUCCAGGCAUGGUCAUCACUCUGGGCUUCGGCAAUGUUGGACUACAUUUACCUGGCUUAGAAGGGAAAAGACUGGAAACCCCAUUCCUUUUAAAGCAAAGCUAUAUGAAUAAUCUGCUGGUAUACAUCAUGUUUUUCAGAUUGAGACACGGUAACUGCACCAGUUCCUGUACCACAGUCUUUGAUUGGGUUUUUUUAAGAACUUUUUGUAUUUCAAGACUUUGGCUGUACUUUCUGCUAAAAAUGUAAUUGCAAAUCAAUGUUAUAAUUGUCUGUAGUUAAAGAAUGGCACAUUCAGAGUCACUGGUCAGAUAAUGACCCAAUUGAAAUGUUUGUUAGAAAAUCUGGGGGUGCUUAUUUACGUGGAGGGGUGUGUAUAUUCUUGGAAACAAUGCAUUAGUGAUAAGGGGUUCUUCACACAACAGUCUCAUUGUGUAGAGCUAUUCAGCCUUGUUCAUGCACUGAAGAGAAAUCUUUCACAGCUAUCUCAGUUGUAAUUCUACUUUUAGUCACUUACUGUGACUAAUUAAAGACAUCGCUUUAAACCUAACAAAAAUAAAUUUGCAAAGGACUUUUUCCAAGAUAUUUGAGAGACUAAUAAAAAAGUGGAAGCCUUGAAAAAAUAAUAAAAACCAGUAAGUGCCUUCCAAAAUAAGUUUUUCUAUUACACCUAAACCCUGAAAGUCUUUUUCAAGAGAUCCCAUGACUGUAUCUUGCUCUGUAUCUGAACUGGGCAUAGUUUUAGAUCGAUUUCAUGUGUUCAUCAGCAUUUAGUUUAUAUUCCUUGUUUAAAAAUCUUUAUCUACAUUCAUAAGUAUCAAUUUCUCUAGAAGUAGUGGACAUGUGGUGUUUUGUUUUUUUUAAUUUUGUACAGAAAAAAAUCCCCUGACUGUAAAACCACUGCUCCAAUUCACUGGCAAAUGGAAAAAUCCUUUUUUAAAAGCUGCUGCAUUAAGCUGUCAGUACUUCAUAUAAAUCUGUCAUUUUUGUAAUAAAAUAAUGAAGUAACACUUUUAAGAAAGGAUUUUUCUAUUCUACUUAUGUCUUGAUGUUGAAACACUACAUAAGACAUGCAGAAAUUAACCAAUAUACAGUGUCAACUCAGUAUGAUGUAUUUAAAGUUCUGUAUUUAAGCAAAUUAAUAAGGCAACAAGAAUCACUUCAACUUCUGUACAUAAUCACAGUAGCCUGAUAUAAUAUGAAAACCUAGAGGCUUUUUGGCGCAGGUCAGUUUGUCCUGUACUAGUUUGCUCACUGUUGUCAUGAGAUCACCAAAAUGUUCUUUAGAACUGCUCAGCAAUCUUUCUAGUGACAGAAAAUUCAACUGACAACCAUUUUCAUCAGAGGAUUGUAACACGAUGAGCAUUUAACGUAUAGAAGACAUUGGCCUGAGAUUUUUGCAUCAGGUUGUAUAGACUAUAAAAAUUUAACAGAGCAACUCCCUGACACUCUACCUACCUUGUCAUUUGCUGCAAAUCUCAUUUUGGAUCUUUAAAGACAAACUUUACUCCAGAGGCGACUUCAAAUUUUACUGCAACUGUACUGAGAAUUUUAAACCAUAGUGCCUUUAGUGAGGAUGUAUAUAACUGGUUUAUACUUGUGGAAAAACAGUUUUCCUAUUUCAAAAUCAGCCUCUUGUUAUACAUAAAUGUGUGCUCUGAAAAGCAAGUCAGUAUUAAUUCUGUUAAAACCAAAGGCAAUCUGUAACUUCGAAACAAUCAAACUAUCUGACUCAUAACAGAAAGGGCUUCUUUUGGUUUUGGCUUUGUAAAUUUUCAAUAACUGUUUAGAUUCUGAAAUUCAAGUUCUUAUAUAGUAUACAUAAAGUCACAAAUUAAGUGUCUUUUUACAGGCAGUGCUGUAUAAACAUGGCCAAAGCAUGUCAUGUGCCAACUUGCCUAAAGCUGUGCUACUUACGUGCUAGGCACCAUAAUCAUUUUGUGUCAAAAAACAGACUGUAGUAUCUUCCUUCGUUUGUUGAAGGGCUGCAUGGUCGUGGAAUCUGUUCAUGUGUUGUGAUUCUAUGAUGAUUUAUU